Long non-coding RNA from Ruditapes philippinarum (Manila clam), 219 nucleotides. RefSeq lists it as uncharacterized. NCBI's taxonomy places the organism in Eukaryota, Metazoa, Mollusca, Bivalvia, Venerida, Veneridae. The record is from RefSeq and is a predicted model, not a curated record. The transcript has 3 exons.
GGUUCUCCGUUUAUAAUUGUCUCUUUAUCGUUAAUAUCAGCUGGAGACGGGUACAGCACCGAACAACAUUGUUGGUUGUCAACAGAAGGGGCUAUAUGGGCAUUUGUCGGUCCUGCCUUAACUGUGAUAACAAUCAAUCUCGCCAUCCUAAUUAUGAUAAUUCGAACGUUCUUGGGCGUGGCCAUUGUUGCAAAGAAAACUGAAUUGCAAAAAUUCAAG